This 199-nucleotide ribosomal RNA is filed under the name uncultured bacterium. RNAcentral describes it as "partial 16S ribosomal RNA". It matches the Rfam family "Bacterial small subunit ribosomal RNA", at positions 1294 to 1500 of the family's 1533-position model. The record is from RNAcentral.
CGGACUGGAGUCUGCAACCCGACUCCACGAAGCUGGAUUCGCUAGUAAUCGCGCAUCAGCCACGGCGCGGUGAAUACGUUCCCGGGCCUUGUACACACCGCCCGUCAAGCCAUGGGAGCCGGGGGUACCUGAAGUGCGUAACCGCGAGGAUCGCCCUAGGGUAAAACUGGUGACUGGGGCUAAGUCGUAACAAGGUAUC